UGGGGAAUUUUGGACAAUGGGCGCAAGCCUGAUCCAGCCAUGCCGCGUGCGGGAAGAAGGCCUUCGGGUUGUAAACCGCUUUUGUCAGGGAAGAAAUCUUCUGAGUUAAUACCUCGGGAGGAUGACGGUACCUGAAGAAUAAGCACCGGCUAACUACGUGCCAGCAGCCGCGGUAAUACGUAGGGUGCAAGCGUUAAUCGGAAUUACUGGGCGUAAAGCGUGCGCAGGCGGUUUUGUAAGACAGAGGUGAAAUCCCCGGGCUCAACCUGGGAACUGCCUUUGUGACUGCAAGGCUUGAGUGCGGCAGAGGGGGGAUGGAAUUCCGCGUGUAGCAGUGAAAUUGCGUAGAUAUGCGGAGGAAACACCGAUGGCGAAGGCAAUCCCCUGGGCCUGCACUGACGCUCAUGCACGAAAGCGUGGGGAGCAAAACAGGAUUAGAUACCCUGGUAGUCCACGCCCUAAACGAUGUCAACUGGUUGUUGGGAAGGUUCCCUUCUCAGUAACGUAGCUAACGCGUGAAGUUGACCCGCCUGGGGAGUACGGCCGCAAGGUU
RNAcentral lists this ribosomal RNA (553 nucleotides) under uncultured bacterium. Its description in RNAcentral is "partial 16S ribosomal RNA". It matches the Rfam family "Bacterial small subunit ribosomal RNA", at positions 355 to 895 of the family's 1533-position model. The record is from RNAcentral.